Molecule: ribosomal RNA, 459 nt
Filed under: uncultured bacterium
Lineage: Bacteria
Description: partial 16S ribosomal RNA
Rfam family: Bacterial small subunit ribosomal RNA
Source: RNAcentral
CCUACGGGAGACAGCAGUGAGGAAUAUUGGUCAAUGGUCGGGAGACUGAACCAGCCAAGCCGCGUGAGGGAGGAAGGUACAGAGUAUCGUAAACCUCUUUUGUCAGGGAACAAAGGCGGGGACGUGUCCCCGGAUGAGUGUACCUGAAGAAAAAGCAUCGGCUAACUCCGUGCCAGCAGCCGCGGUAAUACGGAGGAUGCGAGCGUUAUCCGGAUUUAUUGGGUUUAAAGGGUGCGCGGGCGGUCUGUUAAGUCAGCGGUAAAAGCCCGGGGCUCAACCCCGGCCCGCCGUUGAAACUGGCAGUCUCGAGUUGGAGAGAAGUAUGCGGAAUGCGCGGUGUAGCGGUGAAAUGCAUAGAUAUCGCGCAGAACUCCGAUUGCGAAGGCAGCAUGCCGGCUCCACACUGACGCUGAGGCACGAAAGCGUGGGUAUCGAACAGGAUUAGAUACCCUUGUAGUC